RNAcentral lists this ribosomal RNA (497 nucleotides) under uncultured bacterium. RNAcentral's name for it is "partial 16S ribosomal RNA". It matches the Rfam family "Bacterial small subunit ribosomal RNA", at positions 28 to 507 of the family's 1533-position model. The record is from RNAcentral.
GAUGAACGCUGGCGGCGUGCCUAAUACAUGCAAGUCGAGCGAACAGACGCGGAGCUUGCUCCUCUGACGUUAGCGGCGGACGGGUGAGUCACACGUGGAUAACCUACCUAUAAGACUGGGAUAACUUCGGGAAACCGGCGCUAAUACCGGAUAAUAUAUUGAACCGCAUGGUUCAAUAGUGAAAGACGGUUUUGCUGUCACUUAUAGAUGGAUCCGCGCCGCAUUAGCUAGUUGGUAAGGUAACGGCUUACCAAGGCAACGAUGCGUAGCCGACGUGAGAGGGUGGUCGGCCACACUGGAACUGAGACACGGUCCAGACGCCUACGGGAGGCAGCAGUAGGGAAUCUUCCGCAAUGGGCGAGAGCCUGACGGAGCAACGCCGCGUGAGUGAUGAAGGUCUUCGGAUCGUAAAACUCUGUUAUUAGGGAAGAACAAAUGUGUAAGUAACUAUGCACGUCUUGACGGUACCUAAUCAGAAAGCCACGGCUAACUACGUG